UACGUAGGCAGCAAGCGUUGUUCGGAAUUACUGGGCGUAAAGAGUGUGUAGGCGGUGCUCUAAGUUCGGUGUGAAAUCUCCCGGCUUAACUGGGAGGGUGCGCCGGAAACUGGAGUGCUUGAGCCGCGGGAGAGGAAAGCGGAAUUCCUGGUGUAGCGGUGAAAUGCGUAGAUAUCAGGAGGAACACCUGUGGUGUAGACGGCUUUCUGGACCGUAGCUGACGCUGAGACACGAAAGCGUGGUAGCAAACAGG
RNAcentral lists this ribosomal RNA (253 nucleotides) under uncultured bacterium. Its description in RNAcentral is "partial 16S ribosomal RNA". It matches the Rfam family "Bacterial small subunit ribosomal RNA", at positions 524 to 776 of the family's 1533-position model. The record is from RNAcentral.